GACGAACGCUGGCGGCGCGCCUAACACAUGCAAGUCGAACGGAGCUGAGAGAAGCUUGCUUUUCUUAGCUUAGUGGCGCACGGGUGAGUAACGCGUGAGUAACCUGCCCUGGAGUGGGGGACAACAGUUGGAAACGACUGCUAAUACCGCAUAAGCCCACGAUCCGGCAUCGGAUUGAGGGAAAAGGAUUUAUUCGCUUCAGGAUGGACUCGCGUCCAAUUAGCUAGUUGGUGAGGUAACGGCCCACCAAGGCGACGAUUGGUAGCCGGACUGAGAGGUUGCACGGCCACAUUGGGACUGAGACACGGCCCAGACUCCUACGGGAGGCAGCAGUGGGGGAUAUUGCACAAUGGGGGAAAGCCUGAUGCAGCGACGCCGGGUGGAGGAAGAAGGUUUUCGGAUUGUAAACUCCUGUCGUUAGGGACGAUAAUGACGGUACCUAACAAGAAAGCACCGGCUAACUACGUG
This 468-nucleotide ribosomal RNA is filed under the name uncultured bacterium. Its description in RNAcentral is "partial 16S ribosomal RNA". It matches the Rfam family "Bacterial small subunit ribosomal RNA", at positions 28 to 507 of the family's 1533-position model. The record is from RNAcentral.